Molecule: non-coding RNA, 156 nt
Filed under: bovine gut metagenome
Also listed under: 1 other name
Description: Lysine riboswitch
Rfam family: Lysine riboswitch aptamer
About the family: Riboswitches are metabolite binding domains within certain messenger RNAs that serve as precision sensors for their corresponding targets. Allosteric rearrangement of mRNA structure is mediated by ligand binding, and this results in modulation of gene expression.
Source: RNAcentral
AAGAUAGAGGCGCAAUUGUCAUCAGUAGUAUGAUCGGAAAGCUUUCGCAGGGCGUUGAUCAUAUGAAAGGGGCCGUUGCCGAAGCGAAAGACCGCGAAUCUUUUGCUGGGCAUCCGGAUAAGAUCCGGCUGACUGUCGCAUUGGCGGAGAGCUAUA